RNAcentral lists this ribosomal RNA (324 nucleotides) under Caldifarciminota bacterium. Its description in RNAcentral is "bacterial SSU rRNA". It matches the Rfam family "Bacterial small subunit ribosomal RNA", at positions 1200 to 1533 of the family's 1533-position model. The record is from RNAcentral. Lineage: Bacteria; Pseudomonadati; Caldifarciminota.
CUUUAUGUCCAGGGCUACACACGUCCUACAGUGCUUACUACAACGGGAAGCAAUACCGUAAGGUGGAGCAAAUCCUUAAAGAUAAGCAUGGUUCGGAUUGAGGGCUGCAAUUCGCCCUCAUGAAGAAGGAAUCGCUAGUAAUCGCAGAUCAGCUUGCUGCGGUGAAUACGUUCUCGGGUCUUGUACACACCGCCCGUCAAGCCAUGGAAGUUCACAAUACCUGAAGUCUCUCUUUAGAGGGCCCAAGGUAGGGUGGAUGACUGGGGCUAAGUCGUAACAAGGUAGCCGUACGGGAACGUGCGGCUGGAUCACCUCCUUUCAAAG